RNAcentral lists this long non-coding RNA (1455 nucleotides) under Piliocolobus tephrosceles (Ugandan red Colobus). Its description in RNAcentral is "lncRNA (ENSPTEG00000024280.1)". Lineage: Eukaryota; Metazoa; Chordata; Mammalia; Primates; Cercopithecidae. The record is from RNAcentral.
AUUAUCUCAGUAUUCACCAUUUUUUUUUUUUAUUAUUUUUUAUUUUUUUAUAGGCCAUAUUUCAAUAUUAGAUUAAAAGCAGAAGUUAUAUUUUUAAACUCGUUAGCACUUAUGUGUGCAGGAGGACUAAUUUUUUUGUUUAUUUAUGUAAAAAAGAAAAAAAAAAAAAAAAAAAUAAAAUAAAUAAUCAAAUAUAUAUAACUUAAAAUGAUCAAUAUAUACAAAUACAAAAAUAAAUGGAUAUGUUUUUGAUAAAAAUAAAAUAAGCAUAAAAAUAUAUGUGUAUAUAUGCAUAGAAUAGACAGGAAAUUAUUACCUAAAAAUAUUAUAAAAUAUUUACUCAAUAGAUAUCAUAUGGACUCGUGCGAACAAAACAUAAACCAGAUUACUCCUUAUUAUAAAUUAUUAAAACAACAAUCACUUUACCCUUCAAAAAUAAAUUAUUUCCUUUAUAAAACCACAUUCCCGAAUAAACACGAACAAUUAUUCCUAUUUUGGGGCAAUGGACCAGCUAUACUAAAUUUUAUUUUUCAAACACUAUGUUUUUGUUUCUUAAUCAUAUUGUCUUGCUGGAUGUUUUUAUUAAAAGUAGAUAAUAUAACAUGGUUACAAUUAUAUAAAUACGGUAGUUUAAUUAUAUGUGGAUGUAUAUUAUUUUUUACAUUUAUAUUAAAAUAUAUUGUGUAUUAUUUUAUAAUGAUAAGUAAAACGGGUUAUUUAAUUGACACGAAGUUGUUAGAAAAGGUAUGGGAAUUUGAAAGAUCAGAUAACAUAAAGAGAAUAUCCGAAUUUAUUGAUGCUAUAAAAAUAAAGUCCACCUUACAUGCACUUAAAGAAGGAGGGGAUGUAUUUUGGAGACAGUUGUUAAUAAAAUCAAGCACAGUGCCAUCAAAUAUACAGGAAAAAAUGUUUUCCAUAUGGGUUAGUUUAGAUGAGGAAAAUAGAGGUGUUAUUGAUUCUGUAAAAAUAUUAAAAUUUUUAAAAUCUCAGGGAAUUAAUUUGAAUUCAGAAAAUGAUGUUAAAGAAUUCUUGGAAGUAUUUGAUAGAAAUAACAAAAAAGGUUUAAAUCAGGAAGAGUUUUUUGUUCUUAUUAUUAUAGUUAAACAAAUUCUUGUAGAACUUUUAGAUAUUAAUGCUGUUCAGUCUUUAUUCGAAGAAGUGUACUGCAUACCAUGGAAUUCGAUGUCGUCAAUUGACGUUAACAGUUUAAAAAAAAUAUUAUCCGAAGUAAGAAAAAGGAAAAAUUAUAGAAGCAACAUAUUAAUUAAACUUUACAAGUUUAUUUAAAUUAUUUGUAAUCUAUAAGUUUACCUUUUUCAAUUUAUUUUGUAAUUUUGUAAUUUAAAAUUCUUUUUUCUUUUUUUUUUUUAGUUAAACUUACAUUGGCCUUAUGGAAAAAUUCGUAAUCUAAUUGAUUUUGUAUGCGAAAAUAAAAAAACAAAAUAUGUAAGUGCA